ACGAAGGGACCUAGCGUAAUUCGGAAUUACUGGGCGUAAAGCGCGCGUAGGCGGUUAAGUAAGUUAAUUGUGAAAGCCCAAAGCUCAACUUUGGAAUUGCAAUUAAAACUAUUUAGCUAGAGUUUAUCAGAGGAAAGCGGAAUACAUAGUGUAGAGGUGAAAUUCGUAGAUAUUAUGUAGAACACCAGUUGCGAAGGCGGCUUUCUGGGAUAAUACUGACGCUGAGGUGCGAAAGUAUGGGUAGCGAAGAGG
Molecule: ribosomal RNA, 252 nt
Filed under: uncultured bacterium
Lineage: Bacteria
Description: partial 16S ribosomal RNA
Rfam family: Bacterial small subunit ribosomal RNA
Source: RNAcentral